GAUCCAGAUAGCAUGUGUCUCAGGGUUGGGUUAGAUGUUGGUUUAACAUGGAUUCAGAUAGCAUGUGUCUCAGGCUUAGGUUAGAUGUUGGUUUAACAUGGAUUCAGAUAGCUUGUGUCUCAGGGUUGGGUUAGACGGUUUAACAUGGAUUCAGAUAGCAUGUGUCUCAGGGUUGGGUUAGACGUUGGUUUAACAUGGAUUCAGAUAGCAUGUGUCUCAGGGUUGGGUUAGACGUAGGUUUAACAUGGAUCCAGAUAGCACGUGUCUCAGGGUUGGGUUAGAUGUUGGUUUAACAUGGAUUCAGAUAGCAUGUGUCUCAGGGUUGGGUUAGAUGUUGGUUUAACAUGGAUUCAGAUAGCAUGUGUCUCAGGGUUGGGUUAGAUGGUUUAACAUGGAUCCAGAUAGCAUGUGUCUCAGGGUUGGGUUAGACGUUGGUUUAACAUGGAUUCAGAUAGCAUGUGUCUCAGGGUUGGGUUA
Long non-coding RNA from Oncorhynchus tshawytscha (Chinook salmon), 477 nucleotides. NCBI's taxonomy places the organism in Eukaryota, Metazoa, Chordata, Actinopteri, Salmoniformes, Salmonidae. The record is from Ensembl.